Molecule: ribosomal RNA, 403 nt
Filed under: uncultured bacterium
Lineage: Bacteria
Description: partial 16S ribosomal RNA
Rfam family: Bacterial small subunit ribosomal RNA
Source: RNAcentral
AUUGAACGCUAGCGGCAUGCCUAACACAUGCAAGUCGAGCGAGCGGCGGACGGGUGAGUAAUGUAUGGGGACUGCCCGAUAGAGGGGGAUAACUACUGGAAACGGUAGCUACUACCGCAUACUAUCGGAUGCACCAUAUGGGAUUAGCGAGUCGGUGGGGUAAUGGCUCACCUAGGCGAAGAUCCCUAGCUGGGCUGAGAGGAGGAUCAGCCACACGGGGACUGAGACACGGCCCAGACUCCUACGGAGGCAGCAGUGGGGAAUAUUGCACAAUGGGCGCAAGCCUGAUGCAGCAAGGCCGCGUGUAGGAAGAAGGCCCUAGGGUUGUAAAGUACUUUCAGUCGGGAGGCGUUACCGACAGAAGAAGCACCGGCUAACUCCGUGCCAGCAGCCGCGGUAAUUC